AAUUAAUACUAAGAAACAAUGAAUUUGAAUUCAAUGGACAAUUAUACAAACAAAUUAUAGGAGCGCCUAUGGGUGGUAUAUUUUCUCCGACAUGCACAGAUUUACAUCUGUCUGUACUAUUAAUAAAUAUUUUAGAUAAGUUCCAAUGGAGAGAAAACAUAAAAUUACACUGUCAAUACAGAGAUGACGGUUUUAUGGUCUUCACAGGCACAUUAAAACAGGUUGAAGAUUUCUUUAACAUAGCGAACA
This 249-nucleotide long non-coding RNA is filed under the name Mytilus galloprovincialis (Mediterranean mussel). Lineage: Eukaryota; Metazoa; Mollusca; Bivalvia; Mytilida; Mytilidae. The record is from RNAcentral.